GUACACUUCAUCAAGUCUAGCAGCAGACCCUCCCUCCCAGACCCUCCCACCUCCUGGACAGCAUCCAUUGUGAAGCUGCAUUCUUAGUGAGCUGUCCAGGAGGUGGGAGGGUCUGGGAGGGAGGGUCUGCUGCUGAUUGGCUGGAAUG
Molecule: non-coding RNA, 148 nt
Organism: Pelobates cultripes (western spadefoot toad)
Lineage: Eukaryota; Metazoa; Chordata; Amphibia; Anura; Pelobatidae
Source: the annotation of a GenBank genome assembly